UAGAUGCGAGAGUAGAGCAUAUCAAUAAGCGGAGGAAAAGAAACUAACUAGGAUUCCCUCAGUAACGGCGAGUGAAGCGGGAAGAGCUCAAAUUUGAAAUCUUCAAGGUUCUACCUUGACGAAUUGUAGUUUAAAGAAGUGUUUUCUGUUGGAGUUUUGGUAAAAGUUCUUUGGAAUAGGACAUCGUAGAGGGUGAGAAUCCCGUAUUUGACCAUUAUUUCCAACUUUAUGAUACACUUUCAAAGAGUCGGAUUGUUUGGGAAUGCAGUCCAAAAUGGGUGGUAAAUUUCAUCUAAAGCUAAAUACUGGCGAGAGACCGAUAGCGAACAAGUACCGUGAGGGAAAGAUGAAAAGAACUUUGAAAAGAGAGUUAAACAGUACGUGAAAUUGUCAAAAGGGAAGCGUUUGACACCAGUGUUGUUUUCUCGAAAAUCAAUUAAAAAUAAAUUUGAUUUUGUGUUGUAUUGACCUUAAAAGCUUUCUUCACUCUUUUCAUUGUCUAUUUUUAAUGCACUUUUCGUUUAACAAGUCAACAUCAGUUUCUUUUGUUGUAAAAGGGUCAUUGGAAGGUGGCUUUCUUUUCGGAGAAAGUGUUUAUAGCCUUUGAUCUCUGCAAUCCGGAGAGACUGAGGUCUGCAGCGUAGACUCUUCUGGAUUAGAUACAUUUGUGCUAAGCUAUAGCUUUGUAUAGACAACUUGUUGACUAUAUUUAGUCUUGUAGCUUACUCGCUUAUGCUAUUUUACCUACGCUUAGGAUGUUGACGCGCGUGUGUGCGUG
Molecule: ribosomal RNA, 778 nt
Filed under: uncultured Neocallimastigales
Lineage: Eukaryota; Fungi; Neocallimastigomycota; Neocallimastigomycetes; Neocallimastigales
Description: partial large subunit ribosomal RNA
Rfam family: Eukaryotic large subunit ribosomal RNA
Source: RNAcentral